AAAAGCCCCAGUUCCUUCAGAACACUGCGGGGCGGCGUCUUUUUGUCAGCCGCAGUGAUUCUGGUUGGGAAGUAACCUCUUAGCUAAGUUUCACUUCAACAAUUGUAAUAGUUGUUUUCUCGUUCAAAAUGUAUUAUUCCAUGUGCUUGAGAGCAGGCUGUAGAGUUUACCCUUUUUUUUAAUUUUCAGCCGUUAAAAGUAGCUUGUUUUUCACGGUGUGCCUUGUUUAGGUAGGGUUUAUCAGAAAGUUACAGUCUGACUUCAUCAGAGUUAAUGAUGCCAGAUCAGCUUUUCUUAUAAGUGGGCUUGAGAAUGCGAUGUUAGCUCGGGUUCUCUUAUUUUCAGCUGUAGGUUUUUGAACGUUUAUCUAAUCUCCCGUGGGAAACCAGCUAUUGCAUAUUUCUCUCGUUAUGCUGAAGCAGCAGGAAUUUUUAAGCGAUCUGGGCAGACACCAAGUCAACACAACACCCUUAUGUGUGAAGACAGGUGCAGAUACAGGCUUGGAUUGUGCAAUGGGGGGAAAACAAUCUUAAAUGAGCCUUAAUAUCGAAAAUUUAGAGAGGCUGUUCUGUGGUUAUGAAACCAUAGCUUAGAAAUGUCCACCCACGCUCAAAAAGUAAUUGAACACAAAUCUCAAAUGACAGAUGAGCAGGAGAAGGCUUCUCUUUAGGAGGGCUGAAUUUAGUUGCUGUUGAAUUCUUUUAAUAUGUGCAGAGGUAUGAAUAUAUCUUUAUUGCUCAAAAAUUAUUAUUAUAGGACUAAAGUUGCCUGGUGAUAUUUUGUUAUUAUAAUACACAACUUGGAAAAACAGCAACUUUCUGUGGAGAACAUUUACAUGCAUGAAGGCUCAGGCACGUGCCCAAAUUAUUGCAUGUCAGCACAGCUGCAUUGUUUAAACAUGUGGCAAACACAUAUAUAGACAUGUUAUCUGAGGUUAAAAUAGUUUAAUUUUAUGGUGGUUUACAAUAGGCUUAGUGAUUUUCUGUGGCUCGGCUAACCCUUCGUAACUUGUUGAAACAAAGUAAGCUUAGUUACAUAGCUGAGGCACUGAUGUUUCUUUUCCAGAAUGGCUAAUGUAGAACAGAAGUCCUUCUUAGCAAAGACAAAGCACUAUACAGUCUGUCUUAUGAUGCCAUAUAACUUCUCCUCAAAAUGUUCCUGAAUAUUUUUGCAAGGAUAGAAUGUAAUAUUCUAUGUCUUGGACUGCCACUCAAAGUGGCUUGUGUUGCCAAGUAUUUCUUGGCUUUCAGCUCUUUCUGUAUUUAUGAACUUGAGGUUGCACCUUGAUUCAAACUCAGUUAAGAUACUGAGAGAUACUCCUUUACCUCAGUCUCCUCUUCCCCCCUAGGAAACUACUCCUCACCUAUGUACAUGAACACUGAGUAGGGCUGACAAACUUCCUUUCCCCUUUAAAAAUUAUUCUCUCUCCUGGUCUGACUUUUCUCACACUUUUUCUCUUUGGUGGUAUCUUUGCUUAUCUAUUGAGUUUCUAUAAACUGCCCCAUAUACCUUUCACUGCUUUGCUUUCUACUUCUACAUUGAUUUGUUAUUUAGCCAAAUAUAAGUCAAAGGUGUACCUGUUAAAAUAUUAAGACAAAUUGACAAAUGCAGACAACAGCUAUUUUCCUCAAGAGUCUCAAAUUGCUUCCAGCAUCUGGGUUCAGAUUUGAAAGGGAGAAUGUGAUGAAAGAAAACCAAGAUCUCUCUGAAAUUAUUUUUCCAAACACUGGCAUUCCUUUGUAUGGGAGGAGACAGCACUUCGGCUAAAAUGGAAAAAUAGUGCUGUCAAGUUGGCUGUUUAGCUAUUCAAUGACUAUAAUCUUAAACACACAAUGACAUAUCAGAAGUUUCAUUGUCAAGAUACCCUCUGAAAAUUCCAGUGAUUUCAAGUGUUAUCUAAAUGGCAGGAGUUACAUGAAGUGCUGCUGCUUGAACUGGU
Neopelma chrysocephalum (saffron-crested tyrant-manakin) is the source of this 1939-nucleotide long non-coding RNA. RefSeq lists it as uncharacterized. The record is from RefSeq and is a predicted model, not a curated record. The transcript is spliced from 3 exons. Lineage: Eukaryota; Metazoa; Chordata; Aves; Passeriformes; Pipridae.